AAAAAACACAAUGUUCAAAAUCUCUUCUGUUUCUAAUCCCAUCACCCUGUCCAAAUACCAUCAUCUUUAUGCUGGAAUGCUAAUAUAUUUCUGUUGGUUUUCUCUGAGCCCAUUCCUCCAUUCCAGUCCAUUUUCUACCCUGCACCUGCACUUGGAGCAUUUUUUUUUCAUGCCCCACCUCCAUUUUAAAGUGGUUCAAGUUUUUCUUUCUUAAAUAGAUGGAGUUAGUGCUGUGCUCUACUAACUGAUGGUGUGUUUCAUCUCUUGCUCUGCCACAUCAGAUAUGAGGUGGCUACUCCAAAAAUAAUCACACAAGGCAGGAUUUCAUCUAUCCCUAAUAUUCUCAGAAGGUUCAUCAGUGGCAUGAUGACAGAAAAAGUGCUACAAAAGCCAUGUGAAGAAGUACAUGUUUGCUUCCCCUUCUGUCAUGAUUGUAAGUUUCCUGAGGCCUCCAGAGCCAUGCUGAACUAAACCUUGUGAUUACAUUGAGCCUACCUGAAUGAUCCAGGAUAAUCGUCCCAUAUCAAGGAGAGCAAAGUGAAUAGUGUGAUUUGCUUAGAGGACAAUGCUGCUACAAAAACCUGUUCCACUCCAAGGCCAACUGCAGUUUUGAGAUGUUUGAGUUGCUCCCAGUUUUAUGCUACCAUGAAUGAGUUAACACUGAUUGUAGCUGAGACAUCUGCUGCUGUGUUGCUCCUUCAAAGUUGGACCCUGACUGAAACACAACUAAAUUGUCUACCAAUUUUACAAGUGAAUAGACAAAUACAUAAUG
This 772-nucleotide long non-coding RNA is filed under the name Homo sapiens (human). RNAcentral describes it as "HSALNT0031516". The record is from RNAcentral. Lineage: Eukaryota; Metazoa; Chordata; Mammalia; Primates; Hominidae.